AAGUCGUAACAAGGUUUCCGUAGGUGAACCUGCGGAAGGAUCAUUAAGAAAGUACGAGGCGCGAAAGCGUUCCUCCUCCCUUUCAAACUUUGUGAACUCACCGGUUGCUUCGGCAGCGCGGACGCUGCCCCUCUUCAGUGAGGGGAGAGCCCGAUCAGCCUGCCGGCGGCACCAUUCGAAACCAUUUUUCUGUAACUGUCGUCUGAACACAACGAAAACAAAAAUCGUUAAAACUUUCAACAACGGAUCUCUUGGUUCUCGCAUCGAUGAAGAACGCAGCGAAACGCGAUAGGUAAUGUGAAUUGCAGAAUUCAGUGAAUCAUCGAAUCUUUGAACGCACAUUGCGCCUUUUGGUAUUCCGAGAGGCAUGUCUGUUUGAGCGUCAGUACACACCUCCUUCAGGACUUUGCUGUCCUCGCGAAGGGUUGUGGGGUUUGGCCGGUCUCACCGCCGGUCUUCCCUCAAUACAGCACGCUUGCGGGCUCCCACACAGAUGUCAACGUAGUAAACUCUUCGGAAACUCGGUGAUCCAUCCGGUGGCGAGCUCUGCCUGAACCCCAAACUUUUCUAUGGUUUGACCUCAGAUCAGACAAGGAUACCCGCUGAACUUAA
Molecule: ribosomal RNA, 612 nt
Filed under: uncultured fungus
Lineage: Eukaryota; Fungi
Description: eukaryotic LSU rRNA
Rfam family: 5.8S ribosomal RNA (bases 232-385)
Source: RNAcentral